Molecule: unclassified non-coding RNA, 176 nt
Filed under: uncultured fungus
Lineage: Eukaryota; Fungi
Description: sequence contains ITS1
Source: RNAcentral
CAGGGUCUAACGACUGCCCAAACCAAACCGUGAACCUUUACUCGAAAAAAGAUGCUCGGCGAGCCGCCCGCUGGGGGGGCCACCGGCCGGCGACCGAGAUCGCCGGCGGCCCGCCGGAGCAUCGACCCAGAAUAUUUUGACAAGCAUCUGAGGAAGAAAACUUUCAAAAGUUAUUA